Long non-coding RNA from Dicentrarchus labrax (European seabass), 2516 nucleotides. RefSeq lists it as uncharacterized. The transcript has 2 exons. The record is from RefSeq and is a predicted model, not a curated record. Lineage: Eukaryota; Metazoa; Chordata; Actinopteri; Moronidae.
GCUGGAGUUUGUCUGACAAAUCAAAGAAGUCAAGAAGAGGUUUGUGAAGAAAGACAACAAGAAGCUGCACAACAUAUGAACCCACAGAGUAUGGAUCUCUCCACUGCUGGUAAAGUGGAAGAGAAGAGCUUCUGGCCUAAUCGCUCAAGAGCACAUUUCCUGCCUCCCGCAUGAUGAGAUGGAGUCAACAGAGGCUGUUCAAGGCUUUUUUUUGGUAUUUAACCUAAACCUGGAUCUCAAACACAGUACGCUUCUGUCAAAUCAGCCCCCUGCCUCGUACAGCCCAUGAUACAGAAAAAAGUAUGAUGGCAUCAGUGUGACCUUUAAAAUCUAAAUAUAGUAACACACUUUGUAGAUUGUUUCACUGUGCUGUUAGUAAAAAUAUGUUUCUUAAAAUAAGUUCCCCAUCCUGACGUUCUCUUUUGUACAGAGGAAGUCGCUCUCUGCUGCAGUGACUGCCAUCUUUACCCCAACACAGGCUCGCUCCAGGAUGUUUGGAUAAGAUGACAUUUGAAACUCCUGAGGAUCAAAGUUAUGUUUUUUCCUUGCAUUACCAGCCACACUGAAUGUUGUAGGGGAAAAAAAUAGAGGAGCUCCUGAUGUGAGCAAUAUUGUAACCUGCCUGGUAUGGCUACACUAUGAAUAGGUAACUGACUGAGCCUAAAUAGGGACUGAUGUUAAUGAUUGUGGUGUACAUGAACAGAGAACUCAUUCAAUGGAAAGGUUGUAGAGGACAGUUUAUUUGAAUAAUGACACUGAUUUUAAGACAGAAAUCUGAAUAUUGGUGAUUCACCAAAACAAAUGGAAAAAAAUCAUAAUUAUUCCACCAACAAAAACGUGUACAAAAUCAGUGUGUACAGUGAAGCGCUAAAAGCUUCUCACCUCCUUUUUGGAAACAGAAUCAAGGUCUCAGCAUGCCAAUUAAAAUUACAAAAGGUUCUGCUGCCCCCCACCUUUCCUUUUGAGCAUAGCAGCAAGUAUCAUGUAAUGAAAUGCUGCCAGCGAAGGAGGGCUGUACUCAGACCAGAUUGUACAGUCAAAGCCAGAUGGCAAGUCACACAUCAAAAGGACAGCUGGUUACCAGAGUCUGAAAAGGCAUCUUUAUAGCUCCGAACCUAAUUAGUUACAACUAAACAAAUCACACCGAGAUGUAAUAUUCAGGCCAUGCCAAUGAUUCAUCAUAAAAUGCGACAUACACAUAACAUAAUUAAGUUUUAACUGUUUUUGUGUGCAAGCUGCAACAUUUCAAAAUGGCCAAUCAAGCUGGUUCCAUCAGCGGUCAAAGCCUCCUCUGAUCUAUAUUUUAGAAAAAUGAAAGCAGACCCUUCAGCUGCUACUGAUGGUGCAGAUGAGGAUCCCAUUUCUUAAAUAUGUGCACAUUGACUACACUGAUAUGGUCAAUGCUUCAGCUCGGUGCGUCUCCCAGGGAGCAUCAUCCUCUCUUUCUGCCGAACCUAUAAAUUAUAUCCAGAAAGACAAAAUCAACAGUGAACUUUAAAAAAGUGAUCAUCACGUAUAGCACAAACACAACAGGACUGUUGCACCGACCCCUUUUAUAAUUCUUCUGCGAAGUUCCUCCUGUGACAGUGGCCGUUCUUCCUCAUCAGUGACGGGAGACUCUUCUGCAUCAUAAUCCACACUGAGGAAUCCAACCAACACAGAAACUGGUUAUGAAACAGUCUCAAUUUAAUACGGAUGCCUCCAUGUGACCUACAUAACAAACAAGACCAUCAGCAAGAAGAUAAAAGAUAAAAGGCCCACCUGUUGAUUGCAGGUUGGAUAUCAAUAUUCUGCUGAAGCAGUUCUGGGUUUUGCCCCAAAAGAAAUUUGGCCAGAUCUUUUGGAUUGUAGUCUUUCUCCAGAUCCUGUAAGAGACAUUAUAUUGCAAUGCAGAAAUGAAAGAACGUACUGCAUGUACAACAGGAAUGUAUGUGGGAAAGUCAGGACCGAACCACAGGUUGAAAAUUUACUUUAGAAUUGAGGAAAGCUUGUAUGGUGAGCAUCUCGUUGGUCUUCUGUUCCACCAGACCCAGGUAGGACAUGAUGUUGUUGUCACUGAUCCCUGUAGAGGAGCCGAGUGCAUCCUCUAUCACUGAGCGGUCACACUCCAUUUUAGAGAAAAUACUGUUCACUCCUGUGAGAUGGGAGAAACAAGAGUCAGGAGUACCUCAGAUAUUAAUUAAAUGUAGAUAAAUAUAUAUAUAUAUGUAUGAGUAUUUAAGAAAAGUCUGAUAAUUUCAUGGGGCAUUUCCUAAAGAAAAUAAAAUAAUAUUUAAUUUGAUACUAAUUUUAGGUUUAUUUCCCUAAAAUCCUCGAGGAACUGCUCCAGUUUAAUCCAUGUAAAUAUUCAUUGAUCAUUCCUUUAGUACACAACAGUGUUUUUCAUGUAUUUUGUGUUGAAUUGUAUGCUUGCUGGUGGAAAAAACAUUCUGCAUGUUGAUCUGACCUGCUGUGCACUGACUAAAAGACUCCAGGUUGUGCUACCAGUUCACUGGAAUUAAACUAAUUGAACACUG